GACGAGACAUGGUCUGUUCUUCUUCUUUCCAAAAAUCAAUUUAAAUGUUGGUAUAAAUAAAUGUUCAGAUAUAAAUUUUCAAAUACAAUUAAAGUGUUCAGCAUCAUGUCGGCAUAUAUUAGGAUCCAUCAGGAACAGUCGGUCAACUUCACAAGUAAAAAUAUCCAAAAUCCAUUGAAAAACAAAAUCCAAAAUAUGUAUAAAUCAUUAUUCACGAUCGUUUAGGGUCCCCACCAUAUUACAGACUAGGGGAAUAGCUCUGGUAGCAUGGAUGGAGGCGAUGACAUACAGACACAUAAAAACACAUCAGCUUCCAGUUCUACAUUUUAAUCAGACAAAGAAUGACGUCACAAACAUCAAUACAAAAUACUGGCAAAAGGGGAACAACUCUCUCUUACAAACAGAAACAUAAUCUGAC
RNAcentral lists this long non-coding RNA (418 nucleotides) under Mytilus galloprovincialis (Mediterranean mussel). The record is from RNAcentral. Lineage: Eukaryota; Metazoa; Mollusca; Bivalvia; Mytilida; Mytilidae.